Transfer RNA from Ovis aries (sheep), 72 nucleotides. It matches the Rfam family "tRNA". From Rfam's summary of the family: Transfer RNA (tRNA) molecules are approximately 80 nucleotides in length. Lineage: Eukaryota; Metazoa; Chordata; Mammalia; Artiodactyla; Bovidae. The record is from Rfam.
UCCUCUUUAGUAUAGUGGUGAGUAUCCCCACCUGUCAGGUGGGAGACCAGGGUUCGAUUCCCUGAUGGGGAG